AAAUGCGAUAAUUAAUGUGAAUUGCAGAAUUCAGUGAAUCAUCGAGUCUUUGAACGCACAUUGCGCCCCCUGGUAUUCCGGGGGGCAUGCCUGUCCGAGCGUCAUUGCUGCCCUCAAGCACGACUUGUGUGUUGGGCUUCCGUCCCUGGCAACGGGGACGGGCCCAAAAGGCAGUGGCGGCACCAUGUCUGGUCCUCGAGCGUAUGGGGCUUUGUCACCCGCUCCCGUAGGUCCAGCUGGCAGCUAGCCUCGCAACCAAUCUUUUUAACCAGGUUGACCUCGGAUCAGGUAGGGAUACCCGCUGAACUUAAGC
Molecule: unclassified non-coding RNA, 313 nt
Filed under: plant metagenome
Description: partial contains 5.8S ribosomal RNA, internal transcribed spacer 2, and large subunit ribosomal RNA
Rfam family: 5.8S ribosomal RNA (bases 1-104)
Source: RNAcentral